GAUGAACGCUGGCGGCGUGCCUAAUACAUGCCAGUCGAGCGAACGGACGAGAAGCUUGCUUCUCUGACGUUAGCGGCGGACGGGUGAGUAACACGUGGAUAACCUACCUAUAAGACUGGGAUAACUUCGGGAAACCGUAGCUAAUACCGGAUAAUAUUUUGAACCGCAUGGUUCAAAAGUGAAAGACGGUUUUGCUGUCACUUAUAGAUGGAUCCGCGCUGCAUUAGCUAGUUGGUAAGGUAACGGCUUACCAAGGCAACGAUGCAUAGCCGACCUGAGAGGGUGAUCGGCCACACUGGAACUGAGACACGGUCCAGACUCCUACGGGAGGCAGCAGUAGGGAAUCUUCCGCAAUGGGCGAAAGCCUGACGGAGCAACGCCGCGUGAGUGAUGAAGGUCUUCGGAUCGUAAAACUCUGUUAUUAGGGAAGAACAUAUGUGUAAGUAACUGUGCACAUCUUGACGGUACCUAAUCAGAAAGCCACGGCUAACUACGUG
RNAcentral lists this ribosomal RNA (497 nucleotides) under uncultured bacterium. RNAcentral's name for it is "partial 16S ribosomal RNA". It matches the Rfam family "Bacterial small subunit ribosomal RNA", at positions 28 to 507 of the family's 1533-position model. The record is from RNAcentral.